This 10518-nucleotide long non-coding RNA is filed under the name Glycine max (soybean). RNAcentral describes it as "long non-coding RNA (GMAX_LNC004356)". Lineage: Eukaryota; Viridiplantae; Streptophyta; Magnoliopsida; Fabales; Fabaceae. The record is from RNAcentral.
GAAAUUAUUGCUCCUGGGGACCACCUUAACCAUUGGCCACAAAAACUAGAGUUGACGAGUGAAGACUUGUAUUUUUACUUACUUCCGAUCUCUGAUGUUGGAAUUCCUGAUAACACAAACCAUGGCUGAAUCAUUUCUCUUCAGCAUCGCUGAGUCUCUCAUAACAAAGCUUGCUUCUCAUGCUUUCCAAGAAGCUUCUCGGGUGGUGGGUUUGUACGACCAUCUCCGAGACCUUAAAAAGACUCUCUCAUAUGUCAAGGAAGUGCUGUUAGAUGCUGAUCAAGAGCAAAAGCAGGAGCAUAACCAUGAGCUUCGGGAAUGGCUGAGGCAGCUCAAAGGUGUCUUCUAUGAUGCCGAAGAUUGAUGUGCUCGAUGAAUUUGAGUGCCAAACACUGUGAAAGCAAGUGCUCAAAGCUCAUGGUACCAUCAAAGACGAGGUAAGCCACUUCUUCUCAAGUUCUAAUCCACUUGUUUUUCGUUCCAAGAUGGCUCAACAAAUCAAAGAUGUCAGCAAGCGGCUAGACAAGGUUGCAGCUGAUAGGCAUAAGUUUGGGGGGCACUUGGUCUCCUUGCAUCACCUAGAAAGAAUGAGACACCGGAAGAUGUUGUCAAACAGUAUCUGGAUGAAUUACUGUCAAGAUCUUUCCUUCAAGAUUUUGUCAUUUCGGGCACUAUUUGUAAAUUUAAAAUUCAUAAUUUGGUGCAUGAUCUUGCUUUGUUUGUUGCAAAAGAUGAGUGCCUACUUAUAAAUUCCCACAUUCAAAAUAUUAUUGUGAAUAUUCGGCAUCUGUCUUUUGCUGAAUACAAUUUUAUAGGAAAUUCAUUCUCCUCAAAAUGGGUAGCUGUGAGAACCAUAAUGUUUCCAAAUGGUGUAGAAGGAGGCAGCGUUGAAUCUUUGCUAAAUACCUGUGUGUCAAAGUUCAAAUUAUUGCGAGUUUUGGAUUUAAGGAAUUCGACAUGCAAGACUUUGCCACGUUCCAUUGGUAAGUUGAAACACUUGAGAUAUUUCAGCAUUGCGAAUAAUUGCAACAUCAAGAUGUUGAUGUAUGAUGUAAUUCAAUUUGUUAGUUAGGAGUUAGUUAGUUUGACAGCUAUGAAGGUAGUUAUAGUUAUAUGUGCAGUGUGUAUAAAAGUGAUCAUGAAUGAGAUGAAUGACAGUGCAGAAGUUUUAAUUCAGAAUUCUAAGUUCCCUCUAUUUUCUCAAUCAAUUCUUUCAUCUUCACUUAUUCUCUAACAUAGAGUGAGUGAGUGCAUAGUGUGAGUGUGUGUGAAGAGCUUCUUUGUUCCAACAAACUGGUAUUCAGAGCAGAGGUUCAAGAUCCUUGGAUACUGAAAUUGAGAUGGCUUCCUUGAAUGGAAAUUUUCCAGCAUCUAUGCCUGUUCUCAAAGGCAAGAACUAUGAUGAUUGAUGUGCUCAGAUGAAGGUAAUCUUUCGAUUUCAAGAUGUGACAGAAGUGGUGCUAGAAGGGGUUCAAGAACUUGACAGGAACCCAACUGAUGCAUAGAAGGUGGCUCACUGUGAUUUGAUGAAAAGAGAUGCAAAGGCAUUGUUCAUUAUUCAUCAGUGUGUAGAUGCAGAUAAUUUUCAGAAAAUUAGAUCUGCUAAUACUGCAAAGAAGGCAUGGGAUAUUCUAAAGAAAUCCUAUGCAGGGGAUAGCAAACUCAAGAAGGUGAAGUUGCAGACCUUGAGAAGGUAGUAUGAACUUUUACAAAUGAGUGAUCAAGAAAGCAUUGGUGAGUUCUUUUCUCGAGUCUUGACAAUUACAAAUCAAAUGAAUGCUUAUGGUGACAAGCAAUCAGACUUGGGGAUCAUUGACAAGGUAUUAAGAACCUUGACACCAAGAUUCGAUCAUAUAGUGGUGGCAAUUGAGCAAGGCCAAAAUCUUGAAGAAAUGAAGAUUGAAGAACUGCAAGGAAUUCUUGAAGCUCAAGAGAUGAGGCUCAAUGAAAGAAAUUCACAAAGAUCAGCUGAGCAAGCUAUGCAAGCCCAAACAACCAAAGGGAACAACUAUGAUGGUGGUAAGAAUAGAAAGGGAAAGUGGAAAAACAGUAAGUGGAAGGGGUCAGGUGAGGGCUCCAGCAGUUCUAGAAACCAUAACCAAAAUGAAGAAACUGACAAGAAAAAUGGAGUGAAUCACAAAGUGGUCAAGAAAAAAUUCAACAAGAAAGGGAUUCAAUGUUAUAACCGUCAGAAAUAGGGACAUUUUGCAGAUGAAUGCAAAAAUAAAAGGGUUCCAAGAAAUGUAGAUGAGGCUCAAUUGGCACAAGAUGAGGAUUCUGACUCUGAUAAAGUGUUACUAAGGACAACAACAAACUCAGAAGAAGACAAUGUUAAUCUGUGGUAUCUUGACACAGGUUGUUCCAAUCACAUGACUGGACAUAGAGAGUGGUUUGUAAAUAUUGAUGAUAAGGUGAAGAGCAAGAUCAAGUUUGCAGAGAUAACAGCUCUGUAACUGUAGAAGGCAUUGGAAAGGUGAUGAUUCAGAGGAAGGAUGGACAACACUCAUUUAUCAAUGAUGUGCUAUAUGUUCCCAAUAUGAAGAACAAUUUGCUGAGUUUGGGACAGUUGCUAGAAAAGGGCUACUCAAUGCAGAUGGAGGACAGUCAAAUGAAGAUAUUUGACAGCAAGAGGAGGCUGAUUCUAUAGGCCUCUUUGUCAAGAAACAGAACAUUCAAGAUUGGAAUUCAGAUUGCAAAAUUUCAAUGCUUGGCUGCUUCUAUAAGUGAUGAAAGCUGGAUGUGGCAUCACAGGUUUGGUCAUCUAAAUUUCAGGAGUUUAAGUGAAUUGAAAAGUAAGAAAAUGGUUCAUGGUCUUCCCCAAAUUGAGAUACCAAAACAAUUAUGUGUUGAGUGUUGUGUGUCAAAGCAACCAAGGAAUUCUUUCAAGUCAGAAAUUCCAAUCAGAUCCAAAAGAAAGCUUGAAGUGAUCUAUUCUGAUGUGUGGGGUCCUUUUGAAGUGAAAUCCCUAGGAGGUAAUAGUUACUUUGUGUCAUUCAUUGAUGAAUUUACUAGAAAAAUGUGGAUCUAUUUCAUUAAGCAGAAAAGUGAAGUGUUUAACAUUUUUAAGAAGUUUAAGCUAUUGAGUGAAAAGCAAAGUUAUAAGGUAAUCAAAGUGUUUAGAACAGAUGGAGGUGGUGAGUAUAACUCACAUGAAUUUCAAGUAUUUUGUGAUGAAGAGGGGAUAAUUCAUGAAGUGACAUCUCCCUAUACACUUCAACAUAAUGGUGUUGUUGAGAGAAGAAACAGAACCAUUUUGAACAUGGCCAGGAGCAUGAUGAAAGGGAAGGGAAUGCCUCAUUAUUUAUGGGGAGAGACAACUUCUACUGCUGUGUAUAUUCUAAACAGGUGUCCCACCAAGAGAUUGCAGGGAUACACACCUGAAGAAGCAUGGUCAGAAAAGAAGCCUAGUGUGAGUCAUUUCAGAAUAUUUGGUUCACUGUGCUUUAGGCAUGUGCCUGAGCAGAACAGAAAGAAACUUGAUGACAAGGCUGAACCAAUGAUACUCAUUGGAUAUCAUCCAACUGGUGCCUACAAGUUGUAUGAUCCUAGAAUGAGGAAGGUUGUGAUUAGAAGAGAUGUCUUGAUAGAUGAAACAAAGGGCUGGAAUUGGGAAAUAAAUGUUGUUGACAAUGGUGAAAGAAAGGUGAUUGUGAACCUUGAAGACAAACAAAGUGAAAAGGAUGUCCCAUCAUGUGGAGAGUAACUCAAAAGGUCACAAAGAGAGAGACAAGUACCACAAACACUUAGAGAUUAUGAAUUGUAUCCUAAUACAACAAUCACUACAGAAGGGGAUUUUGUGCACUUUGCUCUACUUGCUGAAUCAGAACCAAUGAGUCAUGAUGAAGCUUCACAAAGUUCACAUUGGAGAGCAGCUAUGGAAGAAGAAUUGAGAUCAAUUGAGAAGAAUCAGACUUGGGAGUUAGUCCAUUUGCCUCAAGGAAAAAGACCAAUUGAUGUGAAGUGGGUCUAUAAGACUAAAGUAAAGCCUAAUGGAGAUGUGUCCAAGUAUAAGGCAAGAUUAGUAGCAAGGGGAUUUCAGCAAAAACAUGGCUUGGAUUACAAUGAGGUUUUUGCUUCAGUUGCAAGACUUGAAACUGUUAGACUCAUUGUGGCAGCUGCUUGCAACAGAAAUUGGUCUCUAUAUCAACUGGAUGUGAAGUCAGCAUUUUUGAAUGGGCCACUUGAAGAAGAAGUCUACAUAACUCAACCACCUGGUUAUGUAGUUGCAGGACAAGAGGAUAAAGUCUACAAGUUGAAUAAGGCACUAUAUGGCCUCAAGCAGGCUCCUAGAGCCUGAAAUAUGAAAAUUGAUAGCUUUCUAGUCCAGCAGAAUUUCACCAAGUGCACUACUGAGCAUGAAGUUUAUGUCCAGAAACACAGAUUCUGGUGAGUUUUUGAUAAUAUGUCUCUAUGUAGAUGAUUUGCUAGUGACUGACAAUAGUAAAGAAGAUAUAAGAGUGUUCAAAGGAAGAAUAAUGGAUGAAUUUGAGAUGUCUGAUCUUGGUGAACUAUCAUACUUCCUGGGUAUUGAAUUUGUUUCUACCAGUAAAGGGAUUUUCAUGCAUCAAAAGAAGUAUGCAGAAAACAUUCUGAAGAGGUUCAAUAUGAUGGAUUGCAAUUCUGUUAUCACACCAACUGAAACUGGAAUUAAGUUGCAAAUAGAUGGGGAUGAGAAAGAAAUUGAUCCUACCUUGUACAAGCAAAUUGUAGGCUCAUUGAGGUACCUAUGUAACACCAGACCUGAUAUUGCCUAUUGUGUUGGGUUGAUAAGUAGGUUUAUGGAGAAACCAAAGAUACCCCACUUCUUGGCAGCAAAGAGGAUUCUGAGGUAUGUGAAAGGAACAUUGGAUCUUGGCAUUUUAUAUCCUUACAGUUAGAAGAAUAUAGAAGGAGAAGUGUUUGGUUAUAGUGAUUUAGAUUGGUGAGGUGAUAAGAAUGAUAGGAAAAACACUACUGGUUAUGUUUUCAAAUUUGGAACAUCACCAAUCUCUUGGUACGUGCUCAAAGAAGUAGAGUGUAGUUGCUUUGUCAACAUGUGAAGCAGAACAUAUUGUUGCUGCUAUGACAGCCUGUCAAGCUCUAUGGCUGGAAGCUUUAAUGGAAGAACUAAACUUGAGAAAUUACAGUCCUAUGAGGUUGUUGAUGGAUAACAAAUCAGCAAUUGAUUUAGCUAAGCAUCCUGUGGCACAUGGCUGGAGUAAACAUAUUGAAACCAAGUUUCAUUUCCUGUGUGAUCAAGUGAGUAAGGAGAAGCUUGAAUUGGAGUUUUGCAGGUCUAAAGAUCAAGUUGCAGACAUACUAACUAAGCCAUUGAAGUCUAUCAAGUUCAAGGAAUUGAGAGACAAUUUAGGAGUGACAUCCUUGACAAAUCUGAAUUAAGGAGGGAUGUUGAUGUAUGCUGUAAUUCGGUUAGUUAGUUAUGAGUUAGUUAGUUUGACAGCUAUGAAGGUAGUUAUAGUUAUAUGUGCAGUGUGUAUAAAAGUGAUCAUGAAUGAGAUGAAUGACAGUGCAGAAGUUUUAAUUCAGAAUUCUAAGUUCUCUCUAUUUUCUCAAUCAAUUCUUUCAUCUUCUCUUAUUCUCUAACAUAGAGUGAGUGAGUGCAUAGUGUGAGUGUGUGUGAAAAGCUUCUUUGUUCCAACACAAGAGACUCCCCAAUUCUAUAUGCAAGCUCCAAAAUUUGAAAUUGUUGAAUAUUUCGGGAUGCGAGGAGUGGAAGCAUUGCCGAAAGGAUUAAGAAAUUUGAUUAGUCUGCGGCAUUUGGAGAUAACUACAAAGCAAUGCAAGCUGUUUUGCCUUACAGUGAGAUUACCAAUUUGAUCUCGCUUGCACUUCUGUCUAUUCAAUCAUGCCAUAAUAUGGAGUCUAUCUUUGGAGGGGUGAGAUUCUCUGCUCUUAAAACAUUGCGUGUUGCUGACUGUCAUAGUCUGAAGUGUUUGCCACUGGAUGUUACAAACUUUCCAGAAUUAGAAUUUCAGGUUGUUGAAAACUGUGUUAAUCUGGACUUGGAACUAUGGAAGGACCACCACGAAGAACAAAACCCCAAGUUGAAGUUAAAAUGUGUUGGAUUCUGGGGUUUACCACAGCUUGUGGCCUUACCUCGAUGGCUUCAAGAAACUACCAACUCCUUACAGACCUUGAUUAUUAAAAACUGCGACAAUCUUGAAAUGCUUCCGGAGUGGCUGUCAACUCUGACUAAUCUGAAAUCACUUCUUAUAUCAGAUUGUCCAAAGCUUAUAUCUCUCUUGGAUAACAUCCAUCACCUUACCGCACUUGAAUCUAUGUAUAUCGAUUUAUUGUGUUGGACGUGAUUCACGUAUUGAAAAUUGAUUUUGGGUGAAGUUACCCUGGAGCUGCUGCGUCAUGGGAUAAUCAAUUCUCAAAUUUCAGUGUUAGAUUUUUCGUUUUUGUCCUUCACUUUGUUCCGUUGUCCAUCAAGUUAAUGCAUCACGUAUAUUUACUGUGAUCUCCACUGCCUGUUGUUUUUGUACUGUUAUUUUGCUGCAGAACGGCUAUAUUUGGUGUUGUUGUAGCAUUUUAUAAGGUUAUUUUAUUAACAUUUUUUUGGGUGCUGUUGGUUCAUAAUAUCAGUGUUAUUAUAUUGCUUGGUUAGCACUUAAGUGUUAUUUCUUGGUUCAUAAUGUUGGUUCUUUGCCCGUUCAGCAAAAACAGUGGUUAAUAAAAUAAAAACAAAACAAUUUGGUAACUAACUAGCUAACCCUGUAAUCACCGAGGCAAUUGGGAUAUUACACACUGCCAUUUUGGUAAAUUAUAAUGCAAAAGACGCUCACAAACAAUUAAUAUCCGUUUUGGUAAUUUUACCUUGAAAAUUAAUUUUGAUAGUUACUUUUCAAAUAUCAAUAAAUUGUGAAAAAAAAUAGUAUUUUUCCCUCCUCUCCUUUCUCCCGAGCCCUUCUCUUCCAUUUCCUACCACCAUUAUCAUUCAUACUGUUUAUUUCCUUUAAUUCUAAGGCUUUGUGUUAUCUUCAUUUUCCUUUCUAUCACAAGGCCUAUUAUAUUUUUGAUAGUUUUUUCAUUCCCUUUUUUCCUCAUCAACAGAGUCUCUUACAUCAGUAAUCACACUUAGACAAGAGUUUCACGUAUUACCUUCACCUUCAUCAGUGGUAGGGCCUGUUUUGUCUGCUUUUCUUUCCUAGUAAUUGAGCCCUUGUCCAACUGACAUCUUUCCAGCACCUACAACAACACUUCUAAAACACUGGCAGAGUUACUUUUCCUUUUUCCGAUAUUCUCAGGUCUGCCCCUUUCCCUUUAACCAAAUUUGAGUGCUCCUUGUAUUUUCCAAUAACCUCCUUCCAAAGCUCCCAAUCUUUACCUCAUUCCAGUUACCUUGUUUGCUCUCAUGGGAGAUGCUUUCAUCCAUGACCCCUAGGGUAAAUCAUCUUGAUCAAUUUCAUUCGUAUCUUCUUCCUUACAGUCACUCCUUCAUCAAAUGAUCCAAGCAUUUGCACAAGAAACAAAGAUUUUCCCAUAACACUUACUCUUAUUCUGAAAGAUUUUCACAUCACACUUUCAUUGCACUUAUCCCAUUUGAUAAAAUUCCCCAUUGAUUUGCCAAUUCGCUCUGCCAUCUCCUUUGUUUUGAAACCCACCAGAAGAUCAUAAACCCUAAUCUAAAAUGGACAAUGAUUAAGAUUGACCUACGCAGGAUUUUCUUCUAUAUUCAUUGAAUUGAGAACCACCAAUCUUCUAUCAAAGCACCAUGACCCUCCUUCUUCAACCUGUGCUCGAUGCUUUUCAUUUAGGAACCUGAAGGUGUAAAGGUUCCUUCCUACUUCAUUGAUUUCUACACCCCCACGCACCUUCCAAAUUUGCACUAUUGUUGCCAUGAAGCCUUGUUGUUGAAAGAUCCCUGAGUUAGAAUCUUCCCUGCCAGUCAUGCCUAACUUCUUUCACUUGCUACCUCCUCACCACUCUCCAUCAAAGCUUCAACCUAAACCUUCUCCUCUAUCAUAAACUUCACUUUGCGCCAUUGUUCCACAUUGUACCCUGUCUCUCACAGUUGAGACUGCUAACUAACCCUAACUCAAUGCUGGUAGAUUCCUGAAUCAAAACCAAGAAAAAAAAUCUUGAAAGAAAACCCUUAUGAUACUGAUACUUGCAGGAAACUAGCUUAGCAAGAUUAAGGGACUCAUUCAUCAUGCACGACGAAGGGACUUGUUGAUAUACUUGAAUUUUACAUAUAGAGAAAAUUUAUGUUGUCUUGCCCAUGAAUUUGACUCCAUUUGCAUAUAUUAUAUGCACGAUACUAAUUCUUGACUUAUUAUUAUGCUUGGAUAUUAGAUAACAAGAAGACGCAGCCUAGAAUUCGAAAGCUUUUGGUGUCUCCCACUGAGCGAGACUUUUUUUCACCUUUUGAUAUAAUAUUAUUUAUAAAUUCAAUCAAUCACUUAGAUAUGCGAUAAUCAACUAGCAUGAUUAUUAAUUUUUAAAUAAUUAAUUAUAUUAUACAUGUUAUUAGAAAUAACAUCAACAACAGCAUGCACAUGAUACCUCUAUAUAUUCCUCCUUCGUUUUGGAAGCACCAUCUUCCAUAUGCAUACACUCCCCCCUCCCCCCACUUGUUCCCUCUCUCCACAGACCUUAUAUAUACCUCUGAAAAAUGUUCAACACAUUAAUUACCACUCUCUUCCUAACAGGGAGACAAAGAAAUGGACCAGAUGUGUUGGUUUCUCCCAAAUCAUGAAAGUCAAUGAUGGAAAAAGACAAUUGUUGAGAAAAUAGGUGAUUCAUUGAGGUACCAUCAUUCAAACAUAAACCACUAUUUAUGAUUUAUUUUUAUUUUUUAUUUUUAUUAUAUUUAACUCAAAAAUCAUACAAAUAAUAAUUUAUAAUUAAAUAAUAAUAUAAAAUUAUUUUAUACUAUCAAUGCAUGAGUACGUAUUAAAGUCAUAGUUGUUCACCAAACACAUGAAAUAUUUUAUUUCAAAAUUCUAAUAACACCUGUAAUAUUAAUGGUUUAAAUAUGGAUAAUUUGCAAGUAAUCCUGCAGGUUAACCAUAGAAUAUCAGAUCCAUUAAAUUUAUAAAUAAUAUAUCAUAUGGUGGACAAACCUCUCGCACGGUGGGAAAUGCACAAAUCUUUAAUUUCCCACACUAGAUCCAUGUUUGGGUCAUUUUUCAUCAACCCAUCAAUAGUUCCCAAUAUAUUCUCGCCACUCCUACAAAUAACCGAACCCAACCUAAACAUAACACACUUCUAUGAAGCAAGAAACAAGACACAAUUUUGUUAAUCCCGAUCCCGAGUGCCACAAAACACAACCACCAUCAACUCAAAACAUCUUUCAAACAUGCAGCUGGAUUUGAAUUCUACUGCACAAAAGAGAAUUCACAUGUCGGAAAAUCCUUUAGCCAAGAUCCCACUGAAAACAAAUUAUUGUCCAUGACAACUCCAGAAUGCCUAAAUAAAAAGUAACAACUAUAUAUACAAGAUACACUUUGAGUUGGAAUUUCAAAUUAGAUUGUAUUGAGUUGGAAUUUAUAGAUUUAUCGUCUGAUCAAAUUGGUUUAAAAUUUAAAUCUGAUCCAAUAGGAUACAGUUUGAUAAUUAAGAUUAGUUUUAGUCUUAUUUUUAUUUCUUUAGAGAAAUUAAUUAGGGUAAUAUGUAUACUAAACACUAGAAAAAAUAGACCAAUAAUACUAUUUGUUCUCUAUAAUAUAUUAUUAUUUUUUGUUUUAAUCCUUGUAAAACAUUUUUUUAAAAGAUCCAUGUAAAAUUAUCCUUAUAAUACAGUACCGUCUUUGUUACUUAAUUUAUUUUAGUUAUUUUAAUAUUCCUUUUUCGUAUUAAUCCUUACAAUAAUACGAUUAAAUAUAUUGUUUGCCCUUAUAAUAUACUGUCUAUUCUUGUCUGAGCCUUAAAUUUUUCAUUUUGAAAAUGAUUCUUGUAAAAUUCCUAUUUUUGGAUUUGACUAUUUGUUAUUCCGUUUUAGUUAUUGUAAUAUAUUAAUUUUUCUUUUUUCAAACUUAAGAGAAAAUAAAAUUGAAGCUCACAAUGAAAUUUAAAAAAGCAUCUAAAGUGUAAAUUAAAAUAAUCUCUGUGAACAUCCAGAUAGAAAUUUAAUUUAAAAAAUAAUAAAUUAAAUUAAGAAAGGAGAAUUAUGAAACAAUCUGUGAAUAAUAUAGAGAUUUAUAAAGGAAAUUAUUCUCCUCGGGGCAACCUUAACCAUUGGCCACAGAAACUAGAGUUGACCAGUGACUACUUGUAUUUUUACUUCCGAUCGAUCUCUGGUGUUGGAAUUCGGGAUAACACAAACCAUGGCUGAAUCAUUUCUCUUCAGCAUCGCUGAGUCUCUCAUAACAAAGCUUGCUUCUCAUGCUUUCCAAGAAGCUUCUCGGGUGGUGGGUUUGUACGACCAUCUCCGAGACCUUAAAAAGACUCUCUCAUUAGUCAAGGCAGUGCUGUUAGAUGCCGAUCAAAAGCAGGAGCAUAACCAUGAGCUGCAGGAAUGGCUGAGGCAGCUCAAAAGUGUCUUCUAUGAUGCCGAAGAUGUGUUGAAUGAAU